RNAcentral lists this non-coding RNA (27 nucleotides) under Mus musculus (house mouse). Lineage: Eukaryota; Metazoa; Chordata; Mammalia; Rodentia; Muridae. The record is from RNAcentral.
UGGAAAUGAUGAGCCAGAAGAUUCAGC